RNAcentral lists this ribosomal RNA (393 nucleotides) under uncultured bacterium. RNAcentral's name for it is "partial 16S ribosomal RNA". It matches the Rfam family "Bacterial small subunit ribosomal RNA", at positions 523 to 918 of the family's 1533-position model. The record is from RNAcentral.
AUACGGAGGAUCCCAGCGUUAUCCGGAUUUAUUGGGUUUAAAGGGUGCGCAGGCGGAAGAUUAAGUCGGCGGUGAAAUUUUGCAGCUCAACUGGUAAAGUGCCCUCGCUACUGGUUUUCUUGAGUGUGGAUGAAGUAGGCGGAAUUUGUGGUGUACCGGUGAAAUGCAUAGAUAUCACGAGGAACUCCGAUUGCGCAGGCAGCUUACUAGGCCAUAACUGACGCUCAGGCACGAAGGCGUGGGGAUCAAACAGGAUUAGAUACCCUGGUAGUCCACGCAGUAAACGAUGAUUACUCGCUGUUUGCGAUACACAGUAAGCGGCUUAGCGAAAGCGUUAAGUAAUCCACCUGGGGGGUACGUUCGCAAGAAUGAAACUCAAAUGAAUUGACGGGG